Molecule: small nucleolar RNA, 123 nt
Organism: Hemicordylus capensis (graceful crag lizard)
Lineage: Eukaryota; Metazoa; Chordata; Lepidosauria; Squamata; Cordylidae
Product: small nucleolar RNA SNORA5
Exons: 1
Source: RefSeq, a predicted model, not a curated record
UGCAGCUGGGUCAAAUUCAGCACUUGCCUCUUCCAUGGUCUGGAAGGUCCAAAAGUGACACCUGUAGCUCAUGGGCCUCGGAACACUUUGUGGGUUCUGGGGAUCAUUUUGCUGCCAACACGG